Molecule: signal recognition particle RNA, 97 nt
Filed under: Borreliella afzelii
Lineage: Bacteria; Pseudomonadati; Spirochaetota; Spirochaetia; Spirochaetales; Borreliaceae
Also listed under: 1 other name
Description: signal recognition particle sRNA small type
Rfam family: Bacterial small signal recognition particle RNA
About the family: The signal recognition particle (SRP) is a universally conserved ribonucleoprotein involved in the co-translational targeting of proteins to membranes. Archaeal SRP consists of a 7S RNA and homologues of the eukaryotic SRP19 and SRP54 proteins. In most bacteria, the SRP consists of a 4.5S RNA and the Ffh protein (a homologue of the eukaryotic SRP54 protein).
Source: RNAcentral
CCUAGGACCCGUACUAUCAAGUGUUGCCAAACCCCGUCAGGACUGGAAGGUAGCAGCGGUAGGCGAUUUUUUUGGUGAGUACGCAAGUCUUAGGUUU